RNAcentral lists this long non-coding RNA (296 nucleotides) under Medicago truncatula (barrel medic). RNAcentral's name for it is "long non-coding RNA (MTRU_LNC005889)". Lineage: Eukaryota; Viridiplantae; Streptophyta; Magnoliopsida; Fabales; Fabaceae. The record is from RNAcentral.
AUUGACCUCUUGUAACCAUCACAUCUCUCUGUAUGCUUUCCCAUUGAAGUAGUUCCACCACCAAACUUAAUGAGUGUUGGGAAGUAUUUGCAUUUUGCUUUCUUUUCUAUAUGACAUUCUACCGUGAAAUGAUCCCAUGACUCCGAACGAUUCUUAUGCUUCUUAGAAUUCGGAGGUUGCAUUGCACUAUUUGACAUUGCGGGUGGAGGUGUAGACACCGUACGCUCUGAUGUUGCGGAUGUUUGAAGAUUACCAUCACUUGUCAUCUUGUGAUGAUUCUAUAAACAUAAAAUAAG